UCCGGUUUGGCACCGGCAGUCUCCGAUGAGUCCCCGGCUUUACCCGCUGGCAACAUCGGACAGGGGUUGCGCUCGUUGCGCCACUUAAGGCAACACCUCACGGCACGAGCUGACGACAGCCAUGCAGCACCUGUGCGGGCUCCCGAAGGAGCGCCGUGUUUCCACGGCAUUCCAGUGCAUGUCAAGCCCUGGUAAGGUUCUUCGCGUCGCGUCGAAUUAAACCACAUACUCCACCGCUUGUGCGGGCCCCCGUCAAUUCCUUUGAGUUUCAGUCUUGCGACCGUACUCCCCAGGCGGCGAACUUAACGCGUUAGCUUCGACACUGAGAGCCUGAUUGCUCCCAACGUCCAGUUCGCAUCGUUUAGGGCGUGGACUAC
Molecule: unclassified non-coding RNA, 377 nt
Filed under: uncultured bacterium
Lineage: Bacteria
Description: contains 16S-23S intergenic spacer region
Source: RNAcentral